Molecule: long non-coding RNA, 610 nt
Filed under: Pan troglodytes (chimpanzee)
Lineage: Eukaryota; Metazoa; Chordata; Mammalia; Primates; Hominidae
Description: long non-coding RNA NONPTRT008435
Source: RNAcentral
GCUGGCUAACUUUAAAAAAUUUUUCUUUUGUAGGGACGAAGACUCACUAUGUUGCCCAGCUGGUCUCCAACUUCUGGAAUCAAUCGAUCCUCCCAUCUUGGCCUCCCAAACUGCAUCCAUACCUGAAGGCGGAAGGCAGGAUUGCCGGCGGAGAAGAGAUCCAGGUGCCUUGAUGUGAGUGUUGACGGUGGAAAGCAGGCCAGAGCCAGGUACUAAAAUCUUCAGCAAAUGAUCAAUGGGGUGUGGCUUGAGGGUGGCGGGGCUGUGAUGGAAACAAGAAGAGGAGGGUGGAGGAGGGAAGGAGGAAGGAUGAAGGUCUGGCGGCAGCUCUGAAAAGCAGAGCGCCCCACCCCAGGCUGCCGGGGAAGAUUCAGGAAGCUGCAAUAGUUUUUAAUUGAUUGUUUUUUUAGAGACAGAGUCUUGCUAUGUUGCCUAGACUGGCUUCAAGCUCCCAGGCUUAACAGUCCUCCUGCCUCAGCCUCCUGAGUAGUUGGGACUAUAGACUUGUGCCACCAUGCCCAGCUUGCACUGGUUAUUUUUGGCAGAAGGGAAGUUUCAUCAUAAAGCCUUUCUCUUCAGCUCCGGGUGCCAGCUGGAGCCCCAGAAGAGG